RNAcentral lists this ribosomal RNA (253 nucleotides) under uncultured bacterium. RNAcentral describes it as "partial 16S ribosomal RNA". It matches the Rfam family "Bacterial small subunit ribosomal RNA", at positions 524 to 776 of the family's 1533-position model. The record is from RNAcentral.
UACGUAGGUGGCAAGCGUUGUUCGGAAUUAUUGGGCGUAAAGGGCGCGUAGGCGGUUUGUUAAGUCAGCUGUGAAAGCCCGGGGCUCAACCCCGGAGGGUCAGCUGAUACUGGCAGACUAGAGUACAGAAGAGGUAACUGGAAUUCCUGGUGUAGCGGUGAAAUGCGCAGAUAUCAGGAGGAACACCGGUGGCGAAGGCGGUUCUCUGGGCCUUACCUGACACUGAGGAGCGAAAGCGUGGGGAGCGAACAGG